UUGGCAGUUACCAGCUUCUGUACAUUCUCUUUCAGAGGAAGCAUGGUCCUUUUCUUUUCCAACUCAUUUGUCUCCUUGACUUUUGCUACCUCUGUUCUUAGACCAUCUAUUGAUUUAGAUGUCUGGGCAUGAGCAGGAUGAAAUGUCUUCAGAUAAAGAAUUGUGCCUUUGAGGCUUGACAUAACAUCAGAGUUUGAAAUUUUAUUCUCUGCCAUAGACAAAAAUUCUUCAGCUUUAGUUGUCUCCAGAGAAUGCUGAUGACUAAGCCAGAGUUUAUCCCAUACUUCAUUUGGAGGAUCAACUUGAAGAUCCCUGGGAAGUGGCUCAGAGUCUGUGGUCAGAGUUUGUAGCCUGGCAGUAUACUGGCUAGUAGACUCCCACUUUUGUUGAGUCAAAGGAACUCCAUCAUUUCCAUCAUUUUCAGAGGAACUAUCAUCAUCCUCAGUAUCAGCCUCAGAGUUUGCUUUGUCAGCAUCAGGAACAGGAUCA
RNAcentral lists this long non-coding RNA (489 nucleotides) under Daucus carota (carrot). RNAcentral describes it as "long non-coding RNA (DCAR_LNC007061)". The record is from RNAcentral. Lineage: Eukaryota; Viridiplantae; Streptophyta; Magnoliopsida; Apiales; Apiaceae.